This 6774-nucleotide long non-coding RNA is filed under the name Carica papaya (papaya). Its description in RNAcentral is "long non-coding RNA (CPAP_LNC008647)". Lineage: Eukaryota; Viridiplantae; Streptophyta; Magnoliopsida; Brassicales; Caricaceae. The record is from RNAcentral.
UUUUUUUUUUUUUUUUUUGUGGGGGAGACUCAAGCUAGACGGAUGUGGACCCAAGAAAACUUUUCAUUAAGAGUCAAACUAUUAAAAUAAUCUAAUUUUAUUUCUCUACUAAAUUAUUAAUUUUAUAUGACAUGGCGGCUUUUCAUUGGCUAUUACGCAACAUACCUUUUUGCACUUACAACCGUCGCUUCGUCGUAACAUCUUACGCGCCACCGUCUUCCGCCGCGCGUGCGAGGUUCUUUUCUUUGCCGGCGCGCUCGGCUCGAGUCUUUAGCCACUCUAUCAUCUCCCCGAAAAUGAGGUCCACGUUCUCCUCCGGCUCUCCGACCAACUGGUGCCACAUCCCUGGAUAAAUCCUGAUCGUCUUGUCCUUGCUCGUGGCUCGUUGAUGGAGCUCCUCAACGCAGGUGGGGUCGCAAACGACGUCGUCUCCACCGUGCACGAUCAGCAGGGGGACCUCCACUUCCUCGAAUUUCUCCUGCAGCUCCCGGCAAAUUCGCAUCAGCUCCUGAGCAGUAGCGGCCCGUGGUCUCCCUAUGCGCCGCCUCGGGCUCGCUAUCGCCAGUUUCCUCUUCCACGGCUCUUUGAAGGAAACAUCCGGGAUGGAGCCGCGUGUGGGAAUCACGCGCCACGUUGGAAGAAGAGCAGCGACCGCGGAGAGGAGGUACUCCAGCGGCCACGGCGGCUUGAAUUUGGCGCUGAUCCCGCACAUGGCGCCGUUGAGGACGAGCCCGUCCCACGCGCCUGGCUGACGGAGCGUUAUGUAUAGGGAAAUGGCUCCGCCAAGGGACUCGGCGUAGAGGAAGGCCGGCAGGCCAGGCGCGUGGCGCGAACGGAAUGAGUCGAAGAAGGAGAUGCAGUCGUCGACAACAGGGUUGAUGUCCGGUAUGUGUGCGUAGAGACCGUCUGAGAAGCCGUGGCCCUGGUGGUCGAUGGCGCAGACAGCGAACCCCGACUUCGCGAAGAGGAUGGCAGUGAGCUGGACCAUCCAGCUGGACUCUCCUGUGAAACCGUGAACGACGGCGACCACGCCGAUCGGCUUGGCCGGGGGCAGCGGGGUCCACCACUGAGUGAAAAGCCUGAGACCGCGGGGGUUAGUGAUGAACUCGGAAGAGUGACUCACCGAGUGACGGGCGUAGAACUCAUCUGCCGUAAGCGAGCCAAAGGGGCUCUUGUCGUCGGCCUCCGCCACUGGAUGCAGCGGCAUUGUCUCGCCCUAAAGUGCGGCAGGCCGGUGGAGGAUGCAACUCCCAACAACCAAACUCACGAGAAAAGGAAGAGAGAGUGUGUGCGUAUGAGUUUCUGUUUGUCAGCACAAGAUGGAGGGGAGGUAUUAAUGGUUGUUGUGUUGUGAGGAAAUUAAUCCUCUGGUACUGAAUUUCAUAGGUAGGCCUCCAUAAAUAGUUCAAUUAGUUGAGAGGGGAGUUGGGGUUAUUUAAUGAUAUAUUUAUUGAAUUGGGUGAAGUAGAAAUAUGUUAAAUAGGCCAAGUUAAGACAGUCAGCCCAAAAAACUUCAAGGACCUCUAAAAAAGGCCCAACACCCUUUUAGAAAGCCUUACAAAUCUAAGGAGAAAGCUCGAAGUCUAUUUUACUCGGUUCAUUGUCAUUCGAUUAUAUCAAAUUCAUAGAUUUGCGACUUGGCAAACAUAACUACGAGUACCCGAAACUGUACAAGAAUAUAGUUAAUUACUACCAAUGCCUACGAUCUUGUCAUAGCCAGGAUCAAUUAAAUGAUCAAGUGCCUGCCGAAUUACUGAGUCAGUUGUCUUCUUCACCAACGCAAGCUGAAAGAUAGAAAUUUUGUAUCAGAUGGUAAGAAGCUUAAUAUAUACGACUAUUAGACAUAUUGAAGAAUCUGAUAAACGCAAAGGAUGGACGCACAGGAGAGUGAAUAUUUAUAGGAGAAGUUGGAAAGACACCACUAAUUAUAGAGAUGCUUGUCAAUAAAUUCAAGUGACGAAAACAAAAAGAGCACGAAAAAUCUUGAAGGUGAACAACAGAAUUGUCAAUCAAUUGAAUAGAUAACUUAAAGAUCAACAAAAUAACUCCACAGAUGACAUCCAUGUUCAAUUAUCUUUCCUCAAAAUCAUGCUCAUUUCUGUAUGGGCUAAUCACAAGCAACUCCCAUCUCCCAAAGCAAAUGGAAAGAGUUUCUGAGGGGCAAAACAAGGCAGGUGUAUUGAUCCCAUUUCUAACACAACCUUUUCCAAACUCUUUACCUUGAUCCUGCCUGCCCGUUUCUGCAAAUAAAUAGACUGAUCAUUAUGAUCAGCUGAAGAUCUCAGCCGGUACAGGUCAGCAAGGAAAAUAAACCAAGAAAGGUAUUACACAAGGCUGGAUGAAGAGAAAAGUUAAGGCAAUCUGAUUAGUUUAUUUUCUGUUUUCCUGUCAGUUUAUUUCAAGUUCUUUAGAGUAUUCUGAUCUUGGUUCCUGUCACAAUUAGUCUUGCACUAAUUCAGACGUCCUUAACUGGCUAUUUUGGGAAUGAAAAGCUCAUGUGUCUCCCAUCCAAAAAGAAAAAUUAGUAAAUUUUCUCUCUUCUAAACUUGAGACCGGUAGGUUCUUCCUAGCGAGCUCUUACUAAUCUUCAAAGGUAAUAUAUUCCCCAUGAGUGCUAAAAAAAAUCUUUCAAGUGCUUGCAGUCCACUAAUCUUUACAACUGUUCACCACCACCCUUUUAACUAUAGUUGAUCCAUUCCAUCAAUACAACCACUCAAUGUCUACUCAAGUUUUCUCAAUUGGCUUUCAGGCAAUAACAGGGUAUGAUGUUAGGUUUUAUUAUUUUCUAUACUAAUUCAACACAGUAGUGAUUCUCAGCUUACUAAUAAGCAAGUGUCAAAUUGUAGGACAAAUUUAGAAGUUAAUCUCUUUGAGGCAAGGAUACAAGGGAUCUCUUCAUAACUCCUACUCCUGGCAUAAACCGCUUGUUUUUAACCAGAUAAAAAAGAAUUAAGUCUCUUAUGCAAAAGUUGACAUGAAGAUAUUCUAACCCCUAAAAGAACAGUCUAGUGAUAAAUCUGAGAAACUCAGACUCGGGUGCAAGUGUCCAAUUGAGUACAGAUCUAAAUUGUCUAACUUGACAAUUUUAUAGUCAAAGAUAUAGGCCCUCGAUUAAUAAGAGUAAAAAAAUUAGAUAUCAUACUUUAGCCUGUUUGAUAUUAAUAAUAAUAAUAAAAUAUAAGCCUAUAUAAGAUAGAAAGUUAAGACAAUUUCAGACGUAUAACAGAAUUCAACUUUUAUCUGGAAAAACAGCAAUUUCAUAUUUUUAGUGACUGGAGAAAAAUUACAAUUAUUAGAAAUAAAUAACUGAUUGGGUAUUAUUUCAAAAAAAGUUUUCCAAAUUUCGACAUUCAACACAAGUAGUUUCAUUUCUAUUUUCAGAUUCAGCUUCUGCCAAAGGGUUUUCACCAUCUUAAUGGUUCUAGAUCAUGAUCUGUUUGUACAUCAAGUGUCGGCCACAUCCACACCCACACCACUAUCAUGUCUUCUCUGACAUGGAUGUAACACUAACAUUGAAUAGUCCGAGCAUCGUAGGAUAAAAUAAAUAAAAGCAUAGAAACCUACAACCAUAAGAGAAAAAAGACAAAAAGUAAGCUUAAAUAUCUAUGGAAAGAAUAGUUAAAAAGGUUUGGCCAACCCUGUGACAACUCCUUUAAGUGCAAGGAUCAGAAUUAUAUGUGCCCUUGGCUUAAGAUAUUCUCAUGUCAAAUGUCGUAAGAAACAAAAUGAUAGUGCUCAACUAAAUCUUCAGAAAAAUGCAGUAUUGAUGUUUUGAAAGUUUGUUCAAAAAAACCUUCUCUCAAAUUCAUCCCAUAAAAACAAGAGUUAGAUAAAAUUUUCAUUUCAUUUUCUUUUCUCCUUUAGAGCCUUAUCCUAAACUUUGGAGAAGAAAGAAUUACUAACAAGGAAGAAAAGGAAUCCAAUCGCAGCAUCCUCAGAAAUGAGAAGAUAUGUAAAUCAACAUGAUAUAGCUGCUCAUCAAUCCUAGCUAAAGUGAACACCCCCACCCCUGCCGUCCCCAUAAACAAGAAAAAGAAAAAAAAAAAGUUCUGCCGAAAUUGAAAUCUGUAGACUCAUCAUAUAAGAUAGAAAUCAAAACCAGUAUCACAGCUGUAGGAAUCUAAGGCCAUUAUCUAAGUAAACAGGUAUUCACUAACUAAAUAAACAUUCAACCUUAUUCCUUUCUCUUUUACUCUAGCUAAACUCUCCCUACAAUUCUUAAAGCUGGCAAGUAAUCUUCCAUGCACGACUUGCUUCUCACUCACCCUUCUACUUGAUAACGUAGUCUUGUACUGUCAAAACAAAUUACUCCCAUUGCAAGAAGGGUCCUAGCCUCUAUCCCGUGCUUUCUCUAUAUAGAAAACCAAAUGCAAUCACUUCUCCGAAAAAAAACAGCAGCUAAAUCCUUUAGCAUUUUAAAUCUCAUCAGUAAGACCUCCAUAUUCGACCAAUCCAAUUUUCUUCAUUUCUCAGUCCCAGAAGGCACACCAUCAAAAUUCCAGUGACUUUUCCCAAACUCAACCCGUAGCCAUCUCAUUGAUCAAGAACGAAGCGAGUACUUAAACCAAUUUUCCCCGAAAAAGAAAACGCCAAAGCUAAAAUCCAUUUUAAAAAGAUACCUACAGCAAAAAAUUAAAAUCAAAUGUAACAUAUAUAGACUAUAAGAAAACUUCUAUUUCAUUUCCAUCGCAAACGAAAGAGAGGACCGCGAACCCAAUGAAUCCAUGUUUAAAAAGAAAAUUAAAUCGAAAAUUAAAGUCACGGAAACCCGAGAAACGCGUACAGAAAGCUUCAAUUCCAACAAAGAAGCACAUAAAACCGGCGAAUAGACAGAAGUACCUCCACAGCAGAAACAACAGUAGCAGCAAGAGAGAACGAGUAGAAUCUCCCUGCAAAUAGCAAGAGGAACGCAAUGAUUCUUCGAAGUGGAUGCUUCUUUCUCCAAGAGUAGUUUCUCCUCACUGCUCCGCGUUUCCUUCUCGAUCUUCAUCCGAUGAAGAUUCCAUUCAAGUUUUUUUAAGUAAGCAAUCUUGAACGAGUCUCUAAUCCUCUCUGAUGGCCAUAGAUGCAUCUCUCUCCUCUUCCUCCUCCCUUCUCUGAUCUCUAGUUAUCCGGUGUUCGACGUUCAAUUCUGAACCCAGAGGACGUAAGUUUUCGUUUAUGGAAAAGCGUACGAGGUUGGGAAACGGAGGCGGAAAGUCAAAAGUAGGAAGAGCCAGCUAAGACGACGUCGUUUCAGUGCAGUUUCCUAAAAUAUAAAAUUUUGAUUAGGUAGGCGUGAAAACGAAAUUAACAGUUAAUUUUGGAUUUAAAUAGGAAAAUAGUUGAUUAGGAAUUAGGAAACUAAGAAUUGGCGGUUAGGAUUAAUAGGCCAGGGGCCAUGCCCGAUUGAAUGUUUGGUUGCCCUUCUUUAAUCUUAUCGUUUCCAUUCUCCAACUAAUUCAUAUUCAGGUUAAUGAUAAAGCAAAACCCAGAUCCAAACAAGCCCUUAACGGGCCCACAAGCCCAACAACCGGCCCAUUUUAUCACUAACCCUUUUUACAUCAUGAUUCUCAUUUCUCUCAUCAUAAUAUUUUUGGUUAAAAUUAUUAAAUUAAUUUUUAAAAUUUAACAUUUAUUAUAAUUUAAUUCUUAAUAUUUUUUAUUAUAUUUUAAUUUUUAAUUUAUUUAUUUUAAACACUUAAUUCUAUUCAUUUUCUAACACAAACAAAAUUUAAUAAUUAAAUCAUUAAAAAAAUAAUUUUAACUAAUUAAUUAAAUUAAUAAAUCAAUAAUAAUAAAAAUAUCUUACAUUAUUAUUAACUUAUAAUCUAUCAAAUUAAUUAAUUAAUUAAUUAAAAUUAUUAUCUUGAAUUACUUUUAAAUUAUUCAAACAUAAUCAGAUUAUUAUAUCUUUUUUAUUAGUAAAUAGUAAAAAAAAAAAAAACUUGAGGAAUUAAAUUGUAAGGAAAUAAAUAUUUUUACAAGUACUAAACAUGGAGAGUUAAUUUAAUAAUUUCACUUUUUUUUUUUGUUAUGACAAAAGAACUUAUAAGUAGAAAAGACAAAAAAAAAAAAAAACUACAGUGACAGUAACAGUAACUUUUUAUUCACUGACAGUAACAGUAACUUUUUAUUCAGUGACAGUAACUUUUACUCCAAUGUACCAAUUCACUGCAUCUACAAGGUAAUUCACCAUUUAGCGGCAUGUGAAUGGUGAAAAUGGGAAGUUACAGAAGCAUGGAGAAAUCAGGCAUGAGAAAACCAAAGGCCAUGUGAGAAGAAACCAGAGGACUAUCAGAGCUCAAACUGUGAAAGAACAGUGGUGGUGUCUGAGGUGUUAAAAGAAGGUAAAAGGAGGAGAAGAUGAAGAAGAAGAUGGUGGUGAUGGGUGCCAUUUCUUUCUACUCUCUCUUCUUCUCCUUUACAUUUUCUAAUCUGGGUCUUCCUCUAUAUAUACACAAUCACACACACACACACACACAUGUAUAUACACACACACACACACACACAUAAGUAUAUGUAUGUAUGUAUAUGGGUAUGGAGGGGGAGGGGGAGGGGCUGGUUGCUUAAACUUCAAUUUUCUGUUAAACAAAAAAUGAUUUUGAAAAAGACAGAGGUGAAAGGGUGUACACUUUUAAUUGCUUAUAUAAAUGGCAAAGAAAGAUAAUGACUAUAAAUUAGUUGCUUAUAAGUGAAGUGGAUCUUAGUGAUAAUUUGUUUUUAUAUGAUGUUUGUAAUAUAUUUUUAAAUAAAUUUAUAUAUUCAUUAAUUCUAUUAUAUAUAUAUAUAUAU